This 574-nucleotide non-coding RNA is filed under the name Macleaya cordata. RNAcentral's name for it is "Eukaryotic small subunit ribosomal RNA". It matches the Rfam family "Eukaryotic small subunit ribosomal RNA", at positions 1119 to 1823 of the family's 1831-position model. The record is from Rfam by way of RNAcentral. Lineage: Eukaryota; Viridiplantae; Streptophyta; Magnoliopsida; Ranunculales; Papaveraceae.
AGGACUCUGCCGGCACCUUAUGAGAAAUCAGGAGGGCACCACCAGGAGUGGAGCUGCGGCUUAAUUUGACUCAACAUGGGGAAACUUACUAGGUCCAGACAUAGUAAGGAUUGACAGACUGAGAGCUCUUUCUUGAUUUUAUGGGUGGUGGUGCAUGGCCGUUCUUAGUUGGUGGAGCGAUUUAUCUGGUUAAUUUCGUUAACGAAUGAGACCUCAGCCUGCAAACUAGCUAUGCGGAGGUACCCUCCACGGCCAGCUUCUUAGAGAGACUAUGGCCGUUUAGGCCACGUAAGUUUGAGGCAAUAACAGGUAUGUGAUGGGGAUAGAUCAUUGCAAGUGUUGGUCUUCAACGAGGAAUUCCUAGUAAGCGCGAGUCAUCAACUCGCGUUGACUACGUCCCUGCCCUUUGUACACAUCGCCCCUCGCUCCUACCGAUUGAAUGGUCCAGUGAAGUGUUCGGAUUGCUGCGACGCGGGCGGUUCGCCUCUGGCGACGUCGCGAGAAGUCCACUAAACCUUAUUAUUUAGAGGAAGGAGAAGUCGUAACAAGGUUUCCGUAGGUGAACCUGCGGAAN